Molecule: ribosomal RNA, 3073 nt
Filed under: Campylobacter jejuni
Lineage: Bacteria; Pseudomonadati; Campylobacterota; Epsilonproteobacteria; Campylobacterales; Campylobacteraceae
Description: 23S ribosomal RNA
Rfam family: Bacterial large subunit ribosomal RNA
Source: RNAcentral
UAAAAAAAGGUAAGCUACUAAGAGCGAAUGGUGGAUGCCUUGACUGGUAAAGGCGAUGAAGGACGUACUAGACUGCGAUAAGCUACGGGGAGCUGUCAAGAAGCUUUGAUCCGUAGAUUUCCGAAUGGGGCAACCCAAUGUAUAGAGAUAUACAUUACCUAUAUAGGAGCGAACGAGGGGAAUUGAAACAUCUUAGUACCCUCAGGAAAAGAAAUCAAUAGAGAUUGCGUCAGUAGCGGCGAGCGAAAGCGCAAGAGGGCAAACCCAGUGCUUGCACUGGGGGUUGUAGGACUGCAAUGUGCAAGAGGUAAGUUUAGCAGAACAUUCUGGAAAGUAUAACCAUAGAGGGUGAUAGUCCCGUAUGCGAAAAACAAACCUUAGCUAGCAGUAUCCUGAGUAGGGCGGGACACGAGGAAUCCUGUCUGAAUCCGGGUCGACCACGAUCCAACCCUAAAUACUAAUACCAGAUCGAUAGUGCACAAGUACCGUGAGGGAAAGGUGAAAAGAACUGAGGUGAUCAGAGUGAAAUAGAACCUGAAACCAUUUGCUUACAAUCAUUCAGAGCCCUAUGUAGCAAUACAGGGUGAUGGACUGCCUUUUGCAUAAUGAGCCUGCGAGUUGUGGUGUCUGGCAAGGUUAAGCAAACGCGAAGCCGUAGCGAAAGCGAGUCUGAAUAGGGCGCUUAGUCAGAUGCUGCAGACCCGAAACGAAGUGAUCUAUCCAUGAGCAAGUUGAAGCUAGUGUAAGAACUAGUGGAGGACUGAACCCAUAGGCGUUGAAAAGCCCCGGGAUGACUUGUGGAUAGGGGUGAAAGGCCAAUCAAACUUCGUGAUAGCUGGUUCUCUCCGAAAUAUAUUUAGGUAUAGCGUUGUGUCGUAAUAUAAGGGGGUAGAGCACUGAAUGGGCUAGGGCAUACACCAAUGUACCAAACCCUAUCAAACUCCGAAUACCUUAUAUGUAAUCACAGCAGUCAGGCGGCGAGUGAUAAAAUCCGUCGUCAAGAGGGAAACAACCCAGACUACCAGCUAAGGUCCCUAAAUCUUACUUAAGUGGAAAACGAUGUGAAGUUACUUAAACAACCAGGAGGUUGGCUUAGAAGCAGCCAUCCUUUAAAGAAAGCGUAAUAGCUCACUGGUCUAGUGAUUUUGCGCGGAAAAUAUAACGGGGCUAAAGUAAGUACCGAAGCUGUAGACUUGCACACAACUUAGAUUAUUUAAGUUUAGAAUAUGAGAAACUAAGUUAUAUGUUUAGUUAUAUUUUUACUGAUUUUUAUAGAGUAAAGAUAGAAAUAAAACUUAGUAAAAUCAGUAAAAAUAUUCUUAGACUAAAGUUAAGUAGUUUAAGUUGUGUGCAAGUGGUAGGAGAGCGUUCUAUUUGCGUCGAAGGUAUACCGGUAAGGAGUGCUGGAGCGAAUAGAAGUGAGCAUGCAGGCAUGAGUAGCGAUAAUUAAUGUGAGAAUCAUUAACGCCGUAAACCCAAGGUUUCCUACGCGAUGCUCGUCAUCGUAGGGUUAGUCGGGUCCUAAGUCGAGUCCGAAAGGGGUAGACGAUGGCAAAUUGGUUAAUAUUCCAAUACCAACAUUAGUGUGCGAUGGAAGGACGCUUAGGGCUAAGGGGGCUAGCGGAUGGAAGUGCUAGUCUAAGGUCGUAGGAGGUUAUACAGGCAAAUCCGUAUAACAAUACUCCGAGAACUGAAAGGCUUUUUGAAGUCUUCGGAUGGAUAGAAGAACCCCUGAUGCCGUCGAGCCAAGAAAAGUUUCUAAGUUUAGCUAAUGUUGCCCGUACCGUAAACCGACACAGGUGGGUGGGAUGAGUAUUCUAAGGCGCGUGGAAGAACUCUCUUUAAGGAACUCUGCAAAAUAGCACCGUAUCUUCGGUAUAAGGUGUGGUUAGCUUUGUAUUAGGAUUUACUCCGAAAGCAAGGAAACUUACAACAAAGAGUCCCUCCCGACUGUUUACCAAAAACACAGCACUCUGCUAACUCGUAAGAGGAUGUAUAGGGUGUGACGCCUGCCCGGUGCUCGAAGGUUAAUUGAUGGGGUUAGCAUUAGCGAAGCUCUUGAUCGAAGCCCGAGUAAACGGCGGCCGUAACUAUAACGGUCCUAAGGUAGCGAAAUUCCUUGUCGGUUAAAUACCGACCUGCAUGAAUGGCGUAACGAGAUGGGAGCUGUCUCAAAGAGGGAUCCAGUGAAAUUGUAGUGGAGGUGAAAAUUCCUCCUACCCGCGGCAAGACGGAAAGACCCCGUGGACCUUUACUACAGCUUGACACUGCUACUUGGAUAAGAAUGUGCAGGAUAGGUGGGAGGCUUUGAGUAUAUGACGCCAGUUGUAUAUGAGCCAUUGUUGAGAUACCACUCUUUCUUAUUUGGGUAGCUAACCAGCUUGAGUUAUCCUCAAGUGGGACAAUGUCUGGUGGGUAGUUUGACUGGGGCGGUCGCCUCCCAAAUAAUAACGGAGGCUUACAAAGGUUGGCUCAGAACGGUUGGAAAUCGUUCGUAGAGUAUAAAGGUAUAAGCCAGCUUAACUGCAAGACAUACAAGUCAAGCAGAGACGAAAGUCGGUCGUAGGGAUCCGGUGGUUCUGUGUGGAAGGGCCAUCGCGCAAAGGAUAAAAGGUACCCCGGGGAUAACAGGCUGAUCUCCCCCAAGAGCUCACAUCGACGGGGAGGUUUGGCACCUCGAUGUCGGCUCAUCGCAUCCUGGGGCUGGAGCAGGUCCCAAGGGUAUGGCUGUUCGCCAUUUAAAGCGGUACGCGAGCUGGGUUCAGAACGUCGUGAGACAGUUCGGUCCCUAUCUGCCGUGGGCGUAAGAAGAUUGAAGAGAUUUGACCCUAGUACGAGAGGACCGGGUUGAACAAACCACUGGUGUAGCUGUUGUUCUGCCAAGAGCAUCGCAGCGUAGCUAAGUUUGGAAAGGAUAAACGCUGAAAGCAUCUAAGCGUGAAGCCAACUCUAAGAUGAAUCUUCUCUAAGCUCUCUAGAAGACUACUAGUUUGAUAGGCUGGGUGUGUAAUGGAUGAAAGUCCUUUAGCUGACCAGUACUAAUAGAGCGUUUGGCUUAUCUUUAAUAAAGCAU